This 822-nucleotide ribosomal RNA is filed under the name uncultured bacterium. Its description in RNAcentral is "bacterial SSU rRNA". It matches the Rfam family "Bacterial small subunit ribosomal RNA", at positions 28 to 864 of the family's 1533-position model. The record is from RNAcentral.
GACGAACGCUGGUGGCGCGCCUAACACAUGCAAGUCGAACGAGCGAGAGAGAGCUUGCUUUCUCGAGCGAGUGGCGAACGGGUGAGUAACGCGUGAGGAACCUGCCUCAAAGAGGGGGACAACAGUUGGAAACGACUGCUAAUACCGCAUAAGCCCACGGGUCGGCAUCGACCAGAGGGAAAAGGAGCAAUCCGCUUUGAGAUGGCCUCGCGUCCGAUUAGCUAGUUGGUGAGGUAACGGCCCACCAAGGCGACGAUCGGUAGCCGGACUGAGAGGUUGAACGGCCACAUUGGGACUGAGACACGGCCCAGACUCCUACGGGAGGCAGCAGUGGGGAAUAUUGCACAAUGGGGGAAACCCUGAUGCAGCGACGCCGCGUGGAGGAAGAAGGUCUUCGGAUUGUAAACUCCUGUUGUUGGGGAAGAUAAUGACGGUACCCAACAAGGAAGUGACGGCUAACUACGUGCCAGCAGCCGCGGUAAAACGUAGGUCACAAGCGUUGUCCGGAAUUACUGGGUGUAAAGGGAGCGCAGGCGGGAAGACAAGUUGGAAGUGAAAUCUAUGGGCUCAACCCAUAAACUGCUUUCAAAACUGUUUUUCUUGAGUAGUGCAGAGGUAGGCGGAAUUCCCGGUGUAGCGGUGGAAUGCGUAGAUAUCGGGAGGAACACCAGUGGCGAAGGCGGCCUACUGGGCACCAACUGACGCUGAGGCUCGAAAGUGUGGGUAGCAAACAGAAUUAGAUACCCUGGUAGUCCACACCGUAAACGAUGAUAAAAGGGUGUUGGAGGAUUGACCCCUUCAGUGCCGCAGUAACACAAUAAG